UGACCUCGGAUCAGGUAGGGAUACCCGCUGAACUUAAGCAUAUCAAUAAGCGGAGGAAAAGAAACCAACCGGGAUUGCCUUAGUAACGGCGAGUGAAGCGGCAAGAGCUCAAAUUUGAAAGCUGGCUCCUUCGGAGUCCGCAUUGUAAUUUGCAGAGGAUGCUUUGGGUGCGGCCCCCGUCUAAGUGCCCUGGAACGGGCCGUCAGAGAGGGUGAGAAUCCCGUCUUGGGCGGGGUGUCCGUGCCCGUGUAAAGCUCCUUCGACGAGUCGAGUUGUUUGGGAAUGCAGCUCUAAAUGGGUGGUAAAUUUCAUCUAAAGCUAAAUACUGGCCGGAGACCGAUAGCGCACAAGUAGAGUGAUCGAAAGAUGAAAAGCACUUUGAAAAGAGAGUUAAACAGCACGUGAAAUUGUUGAAAGGGAAGCGCUUGCAACCAGACUCGCCCGCGGGGUUCAGCCGGCAUUCGUGCCGGUGUACUUCCCCGUGGGCGGGCCAGCGUCGGUUUGGGCGGCCGGUCAAAGGCCCCUGGAAUGUAGUGCCCUCCGGGGCACCUUAUAGCCAGGGGUGCAAUGCGGCCAGCCUAGACCGAGGAACGCGCUUCGGCUCGGACGCUGGCAUAAUGGUUGUAAACGACCCGUCUUGAAACACGGACCAAGGAGUCUAACAUCUACGCGAGUGUUCGGGUGUCAAACCCGUGCGCGCAGUGAAAGCGAAC
This 713-nucleotide non-coding RNA is filed under the name Aspergillus carbonarius ITEM 5010. Its description in RNAcentral is "Eukaryotic large subunit ribosomal RNA". It matches the Rfam family "Eukaryotic large subunit ribosomal RNA", at positions 1 to 730 of the family's 3401-position model. Lineage: Eukaryota; Fungi; Ascomycota; Eurotiomycetes; Eurotiales; Aspergillaceae. The record is from Rfam by way of RNAcentral.